CUGCCACACUUUUAGGAAGACUCAUCUGUAGACAAAGCCUACAUUUCUUUACUGUUCCCUCAUCUGCAGAUUUUUGGGUCCCAUUACACAGGGGGACAAAGGAAACCUACCUGUGCCUAUUAAUGGGAAGAGAGUGAAUCUCAAAAUGAAAAAAUCAUCUGUGACUUCAAAGAGAAAGAGCUGACAGCAAGAUAUUUGAAUUAAUUAAAGAAAUACAAUGCUGUUCGUUGGAAGGGCGAGCACUAAGGAGAGAGAACGCCUCACUCGCUGGGCCUUUCUGAGACCCAAAGUCACAGCUUGGCCAUCAGACACCAUCUGCUACUUCUAGCUGCCUGCUGCUCUGCACCUUCAACCCGAGGUGAGCACUUGCUGCAGGCAGAAAGUUCAUUAGGAACAGCAUGGUUUCUCCUAUGGUAGAGAAGGUAGUCAUCAUUAAAUUACUUAUGAAAUGUUCACCUAGCCUAUCUAGCAAAAACUACUCAAUCCAUAGAAUUUAAGCAUCAAUUUAGUAUAACUAAGUCUAUAGUAAAACUCUCUUUUACUUUUUAAAAUAAAAUU
Long non-coding RNA from Heterocephalus glaber (naked mole-rat), 558 nucleotides. The record is from Ensembl. NCBI's taxonomy places the organism in Eukaryota, Metazoa, Chordata, Mammalia, Rodentia, Bathyergidae.